UCGAACGAUGAAGCCCAGCUUGCUGGGUGGAUUAGUGGCGAACGGGUGAGUAACACGUGAGUAACCUGCCCUUAACUCUGGGAUAAGCCUGGGAAACUGGGUCUAAUACCGGAUAGGAGCGUCCACCGCAUGGUGGGUGUUGGAAAGAUUUAUCGGUUUUGGAUGGACUCGCGGCCUAUCAGCUUGUUGGUGAGGUAAUGGCUCACCAAGGCGACGACGGGUAGCCGGCCUGAGAGGGUGACCGGCCACACUGGGACUGAGACACGGCCCAGACUCCUACGGGAGGCAGCAGUGGGGAAUAUUGCACAAUGGGCGNAAGCCUGAUGCAGCGACGCCGCGUGAGGGAUGACGGCCUUCGGGUUGUAAACCUCUUUCAGUAGGGAAGAAGCGAAAGUGACGGUACCUGCAGAAGAAGCACCGGCUAACUACGUGCCAGCAGCCGCGGUAAUACGUAGGGUGCGAGCGUUAUCCGGAAUUAUUGGGCGUAAAGAGCUCGUAGGCGGUUUGUCGCGUCUGUCGUGAAAGUCCGGGGCUUAACCCCGGAUCUGCGGUGGGUACGGGCAGACUAGAGUGCAGUAGGGGAGACUGGAAUUCCUGGUGUAGCGGUGGAAUGCGCAGAUAUCAGGAGGAACACCGAUGGCGAAGGCAGGUCUCUGGGCUGUAACUGACGCUGAGGAGCGAAAGCAUGGGGAGCGAACAGGAUUAGAUACCCUGGUAGUCCAUGCCGUAAACGUUGGGCACUAGGUGUGGGGACCAUUCCACGGUUUCCGNGCCGCAGCUAACGCAUUAAGUGCCCCGCCUGGGGAGUACGGCCGCAAGGCUAAAACUCAAAGGAAUUGACGGGGCCCCGCACAAGCGGCGGAGCAUGCGGAUUAAUNCGAUGCAACGCGAAAANCUUACAAGGCUNGACAUGUNCUCGAUCGCCGUANANAUACGGUUUCCC
This is a ribosomal RNA of 943 nucleotides. It matches the Rfam family "Bacterial small subunit ribosomal RNA", at positions 62 to 1017 of the family's 1533-position model.